GACGAACGCUGGCGGCGUGCUUAACACAUGCAAGUCGAACGGAAAGGCCCUGCUUUUGUGGGGUGCUCGAGUGGCGAUCGGGUGAGUAACACGUGUGUAACCUGCCCUUGACUUUUGGAUAACUUCAGGUAACUUGGGCUAAUACCGUAUAGGAGCUCCUGCUGCAUGGUGGGGGUUGGAAAGUUUCGGCGGUUGGGUAUGGACUCGCGGCUUAUCAGCUUGUUGGUUGGGUAGUGGCUUACCAAGGCUUUGACGGGUAGCCGGCCUGGCAGGGUGACCGGGAAGAUAGGGAAUGAGAGACGGCACAGACUCCUACGGGGGGAAGGAGUGGGGAAUAUUGAACAAUGGGCGGAAGCGUGAUGGAGCAACGAAGGGUGCGGGAUGACGGCCUUCGGGUUGUAAACCGCUUUCGCCUGAGAAGAAGCGUGAGUGACGGUAAUGGGUAAAGAAGCACCGGCUAACUACGU
RNAcentral lists this ribosomal RNA (467 nucleotides) under uncultured bacterium. RNAcentral's name for it is "partial 16S ribosomal RNA". It matches the Rfam family "Bacterial small subunit ribosomal RNA", at positions 28 to 506 of the family's 1533-position model. The record is from RNAcentral.